Stegodyphus dumicola is the source of this 1039-nucleotide long non-coding RNA. Lineage: Eukaryota; Metazoa; Arthropoda; Arachnida; Araneae; Eresidae. The record is from RefSeq and is a predicted model, not a curated record.
GGCUAUAGUUCCUGACAUCGCUUCGGGCGGUGCAAAAGCGGCAGUGGGUGUAGUGUACGAAGCGAAACUUUUUAGUUAGUUUAACUCUGGUUUUCGUUUUUCAAAAUUCAUGAAUCUGACGUGAAAUCCGGCAGGUGGAUUCCUGCAGCAAGUCAGUUUGUAGUUUUCGUGCACGGUGCAUUUCUGGAUUACUUCUCAUCGAAUUUGGAAAAUAACAAUAUGGAUUAAUAAGAAUGUGUGCUGGCAUAUGCCCAUCGUAAUGGGGGACCCAAAGACAGUUUUGGAAGGAAGUGUCAAGUACAGAGAUAAGAAAAAGUGGAAAUCACGGUGGGCUGUCGUUAGCAAGCUAUCACCAGUAGCAGGUUGAAGGUAUUGACACACACUAUUCGUCAUUUAAAAGUUUGGACCCUUCUUCAUUCAUAUACAAGAUGUCAGAAAGGAUCGAUGACUGGAACCCACCUGAAUGAUGGAAGAGAAUAACUUGCAUCAUGAUGAUUCGUGCCGGCCAUCAAAAUAAGGAUAUUAUGACUGCUGCCCAGUGCUCCCUGAACACAGUAAAAACAAUCAGGCAUGAACUAGAGACUUGCAAUGGUGACUACGAGGAUGUAGCCACCACCAAAAGUCAAAAAUGAUUGUCUGAAAAUUUCUACGACUUCACCAGUCCAAAUGUUUGGCUUCCAAACUCCCCAGACUUUAACCCCAUGAAUUAUUUUGUAUGGGGCGCAGUUGAAAACGACACCAAUCGCACUUCCAGUAAUACAAAAGCCCAGUUAAUGGAUAAAAUUAAAACAGUUUUUGAGGCCUUUCCCCAGGGAGACUGUAGCAUCAGCUUGUUCGAGGUUUUGAAGCAGGAAUGAAGCUGUGAUCGAUGCUAAUGGUGGUUGUGGUUAUUUUGAGUGAAUCUUGUUGAUAGUAUUGUAAUUUACUCUGCCUGUAAUUCUUUUUUGUCAAUUCAUUUAAUUUAAUAGAUACAAAGCAGAUUUUCGUUUUCCUUACGAAACUGUCAAAUUUAUCCCGUCUUGCCGUGUUUAAAUUUUAC